CCCCACGAGAAAAUUAAAAUAAGGGAAUUGGAGCACACAGGCUAGGGCUUUUGCUCUUCCUAAUUGUUGUUUUGAAUCUCUUUUUCUAUAUAGUCUGUAUUUAACAGAACAUGUGAAAAGUAAAAGCGCAAGAGCUCGGGCUCGGACCUACUCCCUACAGGAAAACAAACAAGCUAGUCACAAACAGUCAGAGCUAGGGGCAUAGUUUGUUAUUCUACUGCAAGCUAUGACAUAUAUUAUCCGUCUCUUCUCUCGGCUCUCUCUGUUUUCUGCUUGCUUUUCAACCCUUGCCACACUCUAUUUUUAAGUAUAAGGUGCGCUUUACACUCCUAUAAUCUGAUUAGGUCUCCUAACCUAUUUGGGAUAGGAAAGCACACUUACAUUCCUAUUUCAUUUCUGCUUUUAGGAUUCUAAUCUAAUUGUACAAGAAAACUUAUUCUCUCCUAAUCCUUGUAGGACAAGAAUGGGUGCACCUUAGAUUUCCUAUAAUCCUAAACAAAAUAGGACUAUAACGAAAGACGAACCAAAUCCUAACAAAAAUGACGUACUAAGUAAGGUGAUAGUGACUGACCAACUAGAGUGGGUUAAGUUUUAAGUGAUGAGAACCUGAAAGUUUGGUUGGUUGGAAACUUAGAGGGCGAACCUAGAUUGAGGCCCUUGCAAAAUCCAAAAUGAAUUUUUGGCAACUGAAAUUAUUGCUUUUGUUUUUAAGUUUAAAUAGAAACCCCACGAGAAAAUUAAAAUAAGGGAAUUGGAGCACAGAGGCUAGGGCUUUUGCUCUUCCUAAUUGUUGUUUUGAAUCUAUUUUUCUAUAGUCUGUAUUUAACAGAACAUGCGAAAAGUAAAAGCGCAAGAGCUCGGGCUCGGACCUACUCCCUACAGGAAAACAAACAAGCUAGUCACAAACCGCUGGAGCUAGGGGCAUAGUUUGUUAUUCUACUGCAAGCUAUGAUAUAUAUUAUAUAAGUACAUGAGAAAAAUAAAAUUGGGGGCCCUCCAAAACUGGAGCUGGGGGCCCUCCAAAACUGGAGCCUACACAAUGGCACCAUAACCAUGCGUAUGAUUUUAUUCUCGGACAAACAAGUACAGAAUCUAUCUUGUUACUUAAGGAACUCGUGAAAUAGCUCAAAAGGGAAAAAGGAAUGAUCUUAUGUUGUCAUAGAACUCCGGCAGUCAUUUCUUAACAUUGAAUGCACUGCGUUGAACCAAUUGGCAUUUUCCAUGAUUUUAUACCAGAUGCUAGAUUAUGAGGGCUUGAGAAAUCUUCAUAACAAGCUAUAGAAUUUUCCCUACGAAGUGACAUUGUUUAUACUCAUACAAGAUAGUCUACACUGCAACCUACGGGAAGAGGACAAUCCGAUGCUUAAAUAAUGGAUUAGGUAUAGGUGAAAAUUAAGCGAUUAUCUAGGAUAAGGAUGUUUGGCAUCAAACAGAAUUGCAAUGCAUCUCAUAAAUCCACGUCACUAUUGGAUUUAAGAUGUCCAAAGUCCAUGUUUAGGGCCUAAAUAAUGCUUUUGUCAUGACUACAGGCAAAUGAUGGGAGAAGAGCUUUCUGGUCUAAAUGUGAAAGACUUACAGAAUCUAGAGAACCAAUUGGAAAUGAGUCUUCGGAGUGUCCGAAUAAAAAAGGUACGAGCAGUCACUCAAUUUCUGAAAAUCAUCUAUUUACGUAAUGUCUUCCAUGGUGCUAAAUCACUUUUGACUUCUGUAGGACCAACUUUUAAUGGAUGAAAUAGAAGAACUAAACCGAAAGGUUAAAAUCUUGCAAAACUUUGGUACUACUUUUCAGUUUUUUCCUCUUUAUUACUUAAGGAGCUAAAUGUUAAAGUCUGUGUGCAGGGGAACCUCAUUCACCAAGAAAAUAUAGAACUGUAUAAGAAGGUAAACCUAAUUCGUCAAGAAAACAUGGAGUUAUCUAAGAAGGUACUGGUUUUGAAACUAAAUAAACUUCAACUAUCCAAGAGUAAUAAAAAUCUAUAAUCCAACCUAUAAAAAAUUGCAACAUUUUUUCCGCAACACCUUAACAGAAGUUUCACAUCCCAGGUUUAUGGAACAAGGAAUGUAAACGAAGCAAAUCGAAACACUCUUCUGACAAAUGGUCAAGGUAUUGAAGAGGACUCAAAUGGACCUGUCCGUCUCCAGCUUAGCCAGCCACAGCAGCAAAGCUACGAGCCACCAGCAAGGGCAACAAAUCUGGGGUAUACCUUCUUCCUAAAACUACACUGUCCAUUAUGAUUACCACUUUCAAUUUUCCAUUUAUUGAUCAAACUGUUUUAUGAUGACUACAGCAGACUACAAUUACACUAGCAAAGAAGAUGCAUCAUAUUAGGAUAAUGUUAUUUUAUUUCUCAAGAACAAGGCUGAUGGAUUCAAAUUCAUGUUCUAUCACACUAGUGGUAAAAGAGCUGCAGAACAAUCCGCAAAAGGACCUUGAUUUGAAAACAAUGAUUUGAUGUGUGUGUGACAAUCAAUGAAACCAGCUACAUAUGUAAAGAUGAGAUCAAUAUAUAAUAAAGAAUAAUUGACUUGCACUUCCCGUGCAGCUCAACUUUUAGAAAUCUCUAAGUCUAUCAGCAUCUGUGAAACAAACUUUCUCUGAAAAAUAUUGCGAUGUUUAUAUGCAUGUCAUCAAUUUUUCUACACAAAACAUGUGAACACCAGCACUUGGUUUGAAAAAAGAUGAAAAUAUAAAGGGAAAGAAGCAAAACCAUUCGACUUACUGCAUUAAAGUUCAGUCCAUUUAAGUACUGAAUUUCAAAAAAUGGUGUAUGCGGUGUUUAC
Molecule: long non-coding RNA, 2781 nt
Filed under: Malus domestica (apple)
Lineage: Eukaryota; Viridiplantae; Streptophyta; Magnoliopsida; Rosales; Rosaceae
Description: long non-coding RNA (MDOM_LNC015847)
Source: RNAcentral